RNAcentral lists this ribosomal RNA (442 nucleotides) under uncultured bacterium. RNAcentral describes it as "partial 16S ribosomal RNA". It matches the Rfam family "Bacterial small subunit ribosomal RNA", at positions 338 to 795 of the family's 1533-position model. The record is from RNAcentral.
CCUACGGGAGGCAGCAGUGGGGAAUAUUGGGCAAUGGACGCAAGUCUGACCCAGCAACGCCGCGUGAAGGAUGAAGGCUUUCGGGUUGUAAACUUCUUUUAUAAGGGAAGAGCAGAGUGCGGUUACUCUUGGAUAAGGCACCGCUAACUACGUGCCCGCAGCCGCGGUAAUACGUAGGGAGCAAGCGUUUUCCGGAUUUACUGGGUGUAAAGGGCGGGCAGGCGGGAAGAUAAGUUAGAUGUGAAAUCCCGGGGCUCAACCUCGGCACUGCCUCUGAAACUGUUGUGCUUGAGUAUAGGAGCGGUAAGCGGAAUGCAUGGUGUAGCGGUGAAAUGCAUAGAGAUAAGGAAGAACACCAGUGGCGAAGGCAGAUUACCGAACGGCAACUGACGUUGAGGCGCGAAAGCGUGGGGAGCAAACAGGAUUAGAUACCCGUGUAGUC